UGACAAAUAUAUAGGUGCAUCAAGUUUAAUAGAACACAAAGAAUUAUUAGGCGGAACCAUAGGAAACACUUCUUCAUGUUUAAUUAAUUCAAUGCAACAUAAAUCAAAUUUAAUCAUCGCGUCACAAGUCUGUUCCAAAACAGCAGGUAACUCAUCACAUAAAUCAUUAUCAUUUGAAUCAAUGGGUGCGCUCAAAUCGGCAAGUAAGUCAACAGUUUUACAAGGGGCAGCAUGGUCAUCACAUAUCUCAUUUAUUUCAACACACGUCAUAUUUAGUUCAGCAACACAAACCUCUGUAACAUUACCUUGUGGGCUCAACACGUUUCUUGUACACCUUCUCUCCAAUUUCCUCUCCGCUUCACGAGCAAGAUUAAGCAAACACAAUAGAGAGUCGUAUUUUCCGUAUUCAAUUAUGUAAGAAAUAUCAAAGUUAAGCCCACAAUAAAACCUAUCCAUUUUUCUUUGUUCGGUUUCAUCUAAACCAGAUCGCAAGGUUAAAAUUUGGAACUCAUGGUAGUAAUCAUCAACAGUUUUAUCAUCUUGUGUCAAACGUCGUAAUUUGGAACGCAACUCAUAAGCAUAACUUGGAGGAACAUAUGUUUCUCUCAUGAUUUUCUUCAUAUCAAUCCAAGUGUGAGGUAUUUUGUUUUCUCUAACUAUCUCACACCACCAUGAUAAUGCAUCAAAACGAAAUUUACUACUAGCAAUUUGGACCUUACGACUAUCUAGUACAUGGAAGCAUGUGAAUUGUUCAGUUAAAGCUAGCUCCCAAUCUAUAUAUGUUUCAGCAUCAUUUUCCCCCUCAAAGAAAGGUAAUUUAAUUGUAUUAGAAGGAUUGUUUUGUACCGUUGCCGUGGCAUUAUCAACAAGAGGCGUCGAGGAUGGCCGUGGUGAAAAGCACUCAUCGCGGUCACGGGAUAGCAUCGGUCUAGUUGCCAUGCUUCGUGUAAGUCCUGUCAUGGUUAGUAGAAAACAAGAAAUAAAUCACAGUAAUAUGUUCCUAUCAACUACUAGGAUAUGGCUACAAGUCGCUCAACUCUCAAGCUAAAAAUCAAGUUCUUACAAGUUCUUACCAUGCAAAACAGGAAGGUGAUGGCCAGCGGCGUGACCAAGCCCUCCGAAGAUUAAAUGUAUCAAUGCCUCGGUAACAAACCAACCUAGGUGUAGAAUCUGUGGAGCUUGGAGGCUUUUGUGAGUAGCAAGGAAUAGCAAAUAAUCAAAUCAGCAAUGCAAAGUUGAAAAUAUGCUCAAUAAUGCUAGUCCUAGCUGCUGGAGUCGAUAAGAACGAAUUACAGAAAUAAUCUAAGCCUAGAUACUGAAGAAGGUAGGAAUAGAUAGAUCAAAAGAUGGCACAACAAGUAAAUCCCUGGGAUUUUUUUUUCUUUUUUUUUGUGGCCUUCUGUUUGGCUUCUUAUUCUUUUCUUCUUCUUUUUUUUUUCUUUUUUUUUUAACCCCAGAAACUCACGCAAAAGAACGACCGGAAAACUGUACGUCGGUCUGUCGAAGAACAGCAAAGGCUGCAGUAAGAAAAAUCCAGAAAAAUAUGGAAAAAUAUGGGUUAGAAGGGUAUCGACACAAGCUUUCCAGCAAGGGCAAGAUCACUCAAAACGGAUGUCGGACAAUGGAGAAAACUGAGAAACACCGGGCUGCAGUGACGCCGGAAAACGGAUGCAGAAACUUGGAAGCUCAGAAAGUCCACCUUAAAAACCGAAUUUGGGGGUCAAAGUGCAGGGCAACGCCCUGGAUAUUUCCUGAUGCGCCUCGUCCUGAGCUUUCCAAAAAGUCCAAGAACGUCCAAAUCCGAGUUGGUACGCAAAAGAUACGCCCGUUUUACUGAACACGGGUCAAACCCACCCGAAACUAAAAUUCUACUCGGACUCGGGUCCGAAACUGACUCGAACUCUUUUUUUUUUUUCGUUUUUUUUUCUUUCUUUCUUUCCUUUUUUUUUUUUCUUUCCUUUUUUUUUUCAAAUUUCCAAACAACUUGAUCUCUAAACAAAAUUCGAUCUAUGAUGAAACACUUUCCAAAAGCACUCCUUAUUGGACUCGGACUCGGAUUCGCGGCUGAAAACUAUAACUUGCCGACUCGGUGUAGGACUCGAAGAGGGACUCGGUGUAGGACUCGAUGAGGGACUCGGUGUAGGACUCCAAGAGGGACUCGGUGUAGGACUCCAAGAGGGACUCGGUGUAGGACUCAAAGAGGGACUCGGUGUAGGACUCCAAGAGGGACUCGGUGUAGGACUCGAAGAGAGACUCGGUGGAAGAUAUGGUGGCGACGGGAGAUUAUGGCGGUGGUGUGGCAGGAAGUUUAGCGGCGGAAGAUUGAUGAAGGAAACCUGCGUCACACGAAGAACAAGAAAACCAAAAGCAAGUUCGAUCUAGUAGAAAAAAUCUGAAAAACGAUCCAAUCUAAUCCAGCAACUCGACACGAUUAAUGCAGCAAAGAUUCAACAAUGCAAAUACUAAUGUGAAAAUUGCAAGGCUCAGAUUGGUUCUAGGACAAGGUAACUAAUUCUAAUUUUUGUUUGGCUUUUUUCUGGACGAUAGGUAAAAACAGAUCUAAACUACGGAUAAACUGGAAAAAUCUCACCGAGCAACCUUAAGCUCUGAUACCACGUGAUACGGGUGCGGGUGGCCCGAUCUUUCGAUGAGAUUGGUAACUCUCGAUUUGGGUAGGAGGUGACGUUGACGAUCCGACUACGGCCUAGGAGGCAGCGCCUUAGCAAUCGAUACACCAACUCCAAAGGGUUAUUGAUCACGCGGGGGCACGAUCAACCUGACCACGAAGGUCUUUGUUCCUGCAAGCAAUCGAAGAACAAGCAAGAACAAGAUAAAUAGCGGAUGCAAUCUAAAAUUGCGAAUAUACUAUAUCAAACCAAUGUCUCAACGAGACGAUAAGUUGGGGUUCCGAAAGCGGUAAAACAGGUGGUCUAACCGACACACGCGAUUACACGAAGUAGUAGCGAUGGCUAACUUUUAACUAAACAAAACCCAAGGCUCCUUAGGGGGGCUCAUGGGGUAUAUAAAGGAGGAGAGAGAGAUAUUUUCGUCCACCUUGAAUAAGGAGUUCGAAAUCCAACUCUAUCUCUAACUUUCCUAACAAACUACAACUCUUUAGGAAACAGAAAAACAGAUCCGUCAGCUUGUUUUGUCCGUCACGGUCAGCACGAGUCGAAUCUCUUGAUGGGGCCAGAUCCGUUGGAAAGGUCUUGUAAUUACCUUUCCAACAAGUACUUGUUUGCUUGAUUUGGACUCCGGAUGCGGCCUGGGUGAUUAAAACAAAUUCGGGUCUCCUGGCAGCUCGGACCCGAAUCGGAUUCAACUUUAAUUCGUGAUAUCUUUCUCUAGCAAGCUCCGAAUCAUGUGCCGUUUGAUUUGUUGGAAAGUACACUUGAAAUCCUUCCCUCUCAGCUGUAUGAAUGCUUGAUUCUUGUUGGCCCUCCCGUUCGCCUCCACCGUAUCUCAUCUUGACCUUGGACUUGAAAAGCUCGACAAGAUGCCUACGUAAUAAAACGAGACAAGAUAGUAGUAGCUCCGCCUCUUCAUAAGUAUGACAAUGAAAACAAUUACUACUUGAAUUCACCUGAUUAUAAAUCUUGUCAAAUAUUAUAAAAUUGAGGCUAUCAAAGGUCGUAUCCAUGGUUAGCAUGUCCAUAUCAGCCUGAGGCAAGAAGGGUUAUUCAUCGAAGUGCUGCCAGUGAAAACAAGAACUAUGGUUUAAGGAAGAGAGCUUACCUUGCUGGGUUCAACACCAGCUUGCAGUCGGCAAAGAUUCCCCCAGCGGGAAGCGCCUUCCGCACUGGCGGAGCGCUCGCGCUACCACCAGAACCCCCCACCACGCCGGGGGCUGAGCCUCGGGCCGGUGGGCUGCCCCCGCGCUAGCUCCGUUGCAUGGCGGCGCAGGGGCACGGCAUCGUCGUUGUCGCCGUCCCCUUCCGCGGGGCUGUCGGCACCUCAGGACCCCUCGUCCCCGGAGGUGUCGGCAACGGCGCGGGAGGCGUCGUGGCCGGCGGAGGCGCCCGUCGGCCCCUCGGAAUCCCCGUCCGAGUCGUCCUCCUCCACCUCGCUCUCAGCCACCGGUUGCUUCCCGGUCCGAGCCCUUGGUCGCGGGGGAGGGCUACUUGACGGGGUCCCCGCCAUGAUGCCCCACUCGUUGCAGGGUGGGUAGUUGCUGGCUCCUGGGUUGGCGACGUUCGCGUGGAGCGCGAUCACACCCGGAGGAAGCCUGACGAAGGGGGAGUUGUAGCCGGUGAUCCCCUUGAGCCACGUGCGGAACUGCUCCAUCGUCAGCCCGCCUCGCUGUAGCCUCAUCUGGUCAUCUUCCCCCGAGUAGGUCCAGACCGGGUGAGUCUGGUGCUGCCGCGGUGUGAUGCGCCUCGCGAUGAAGCUCUGGGCCACGUCCCGAUCUGUGAGCCCCGCACGCAGCAGCGCAACGAUCUUGUUGCAGAUCGGCACGAGCUCGGCGUGCUUGGCGUCAUGGUCCCGCCAGUCGCGAGACUUCUUCGGCAACGUCGUGGGCUUGGUAUAGGCCUCGUCGUGCUUCUUGAUGUAGAGCCAGCACCAGUCCGCGCUCCACUCCGCCUCAAUCUUCCGGUCCUCCGUGACGAUACACUCGGAUUUGAGCCCAUCCCGGAACCGGGAUGAGACCCCGAAAGACAUCGCCUCGCCCUUCUCGAUGCGAGGAUAGUAGUCGUUGUGGAACAAUGCCACGGACGUCAUCACCCACACGAACGCCUCGCGGAGGUACUGGAAGACGGCCAGCUUGAAGUAGGACGUGGGAUGAAUCUGUGCCAGCUGCAAGCGGUACGCAGAGAGGAUGGCAUGGAGGAACAGGGAGUGCGGCGGCACGAGCCCGGAGAGGAUGAACCUCUCGAACACCCGGUAGUAGUGCUCGUCGGGAUCCGACCCGACGAGCAGGAUGCGCGUCGGGACGUGCUCGUUGUGCUUGGUGGCCACCGCCAAGCGCAGCUUCUCCACAGCCUCACCGUUAUAGCCGGGCUUGAAGAACGUGAACUGAGCCCUCUUCUCCUUGUCCCUGCACUCUCGCUCCAACAUUUCUUUCUUGCCGCUCUUCUCUCCCUUGCCGUUGGCGCCCUUGGGACGUGCUGGGCCUUUGGGUACCAUCAGUGGAGGGAGGGAGAAGGAAGGUGGGAGGCUUCUCGAGAGUUGGAGCGCAAAGGGGGCUUGGGGGAGGCAAUGGCAGGAGCUGUGUCGGAGGGGAGUCCCUGUGACGCCACCCUGGGUAUUUAUAUCUGGCAGGCGGAAUUGUAACGGGCACCCCCUCCCCACGAUCGGUAAUCAAGUGCCCUAAAGAUUUGGAGGAAUCAAGGCAGCGUGCGCGACGUGGCCAUAACUCCCUGCUCGUAGAGGGAUUGUGGGGCCAGAGAUCGUGCACCCGCCCCUCCUGCUCCGACGGGAGGAGGCCUAACGGCGGCCUGCGUGGUCGGGUUUCUAGCUUGGCCUGGGGACCCACGCGUCGGAAGGGCGUAGUUCGGCAACCGACCGAGGACGAUACUGCCCGGGAGCUCAAGGUUGCCGGCCCACACCCGAGGGCUACUGUCGUACCAGUGGCCCACGGGGCCCCACUGGCACGGGACGCGUGGGUCGCAACUGAUGGGAUCCUGCAAGGCCGGCUUCCAGGGAUGGGCGAACCCGGGAGGCUACCAGUUCGCUCCCCCGCAACUUGCUGGGCAACAGUACCAGGGCGUUCCCGAGGACCAGGGCUUUGGGAGUCGCAGGUGGGGCCGGAGGAACAAUGGAGACAAGACCACAUAGCGGGCGCAGUGCGUUUAAUGCACCGACAGGAGUCACAUCGGCAGGGCUAGUCUUGCCCAGCAAGUCUAGAGCGGCUACCCUAAGAAAGAUUUUACCUACAAUGCACAGUGGCCUGGGCGCUGCAUGAAGCCCAGCGUGGAUCUACAGUAGAGUAAGUUUUGUGGCAAUGACACGCAUGGAGAUAACGUGUCACACUGCAUGCAUCGGCACCUGUGGUAUCCCCUUGUCUAUAAAAGGAGGACCAAUGCCAUCGGUCAAAGGGUUCGAACCCUAGUCAAUAGCAAGUAGUAUUGCACCCAUUCAUAGCAUAAUCCCUUAGAAGAACAAGUAGCCCACCCGGGAUCCCCCCGGGGCAAUCUGUAAGAACACACAAAUUCGUGAAUACAACAAACAGCAGGACGUAGGGUGUUACACCUCCGGGUGGCCCGAACCUGGGUAAAUCCAAGCAUCUACACUUCGUGUCUUACGUCACGCUGGCGAUUGCCGGAGCGCCUGCCUCGCCCCUCACCGAACAACAAGGGGGUGCCCAGCAGCCCCGGUGCCGGAGACCCGUGCUCCGACACGUAGAUAGCAGUAGAAUAGAUUCUACCGGGUGCGGGACCAGCGCUCCCGGUGGGAGUAGCCCCCGAGUCUGGUGACGACUAUUUGCGGUGGUGAACGGACUCAAGUUAUGUACUCAAGGAUUUGCUUAAACAGGGGUCGUUCUUUUUUGUGGAAAGAACUUUUGUAUAACUAUAAUUACAUCUGAGUGUAAAUUUGAACUUGGAAACUCCCGGUGGGAGUGAUUCUGAAAUCUUUAUCCUUCGUUCAAUCUUGCAACUAUGGAGACGCAAGUAAUAUGUACGGGUGCGCGACCAGCGCUCUCGGUGGGAGUAGCCCCCGGGUCUGGGGUCGACUACGAGUAGUCAAGCGCGGACCCCAGUGAGUUUUUCCUUGAGUAUUCCUCCAUUUACUUGCUCAAAAAAGGCCGAAACCUCAAUGUAAGUCUUCUUAGAGGCAUUGCUGCCGUGUGUUUUGUAGACAAGGACUCCACUAAAUUGGACGCAGCUUGGGAGUGUCCAAGAUAGGGUUCAGAAUCGAUUGGACACAGCCCCCGAGUGUCGGGUGCGUUCAAGGCAAGCAUUUAGAGUCGGUUGGACGCAGCCCCUGAGUGUCGGGUGCGUCCAAGACAAGCAUUAGAGUCAAUUUGGAUGCAGCCCCGAGUGUCGGGUGCAUCCAAAACAAGCAUUGGAGUCGAUUGCACGCAGCCCCCGAGUGUCGGUGAUAGCCUCGAGGGUGUCCCGAUCUUUCGAUGAGAUACCUAAUUAUCGAUUUGGUAGGAGGUGACGUUGACGAUCCGACUACAACCUAGGAGGCAGCGCCUUAGCGAUCGAUACACCAACUCCAGAAGGUUAUUGAUCCCGUGGGGGCACGAUCAACCUGACCACGAAGGUCUUUGUUCCUGCAAGCAAUCGAAGAACAAGCAAGAACAAGAUGAAAAGCAAUCUGAAAUUGCGAAUAGGAGAUAUGAAGGUUCACGAAUCUGAAUACUCAAUAUAGUUGGAGUCUUGAUGACGGUAAAACAGGUGGUCUAACCGACACACGCGAUUACACGAAAGUAGCAAAGGCUAAACUUUAUCUAAUCAAAACCCAAGGCUCCAUAGGGGGGCUCAUGGGGUAUAAAUAGGAGGGGAACUAGGUGGUUUUCGGCCAGGCCCUUGUGGGAGUCCGAAACGGCCUAGGAAUCCUCCUAAAACACAACGAAAACAUCUAAAAAUUGGCUGGACCCUAUUACAUGGCCUUAGGCCCAAUAAAACAAGGUUAUAACCCUCAUCUUUGGCCCAUAGAUACCCAUUGGAGGGGGAAUCCUCCACUUGGCCGAAAUCCCAUUGAUGAAGAGGAUGCGGCCUUCUUCUCAUCUCUUUAUGGCGGUUUCAAUGUUCUGAAAUCAACACUUGAGCUACCUCCCACCACCUUGCUGCCACCUCCAUGGUUUGCUGUCCAACGCUGAUCCUUGAGGUCCAAGCUAGGUCCUUCAUUCCUAAAACACAUAAAAGAACCCAUCUUAGGCAGCAGCAUAUUCUCAUUAAUAUUAAAUGAAAUACCGAGGAACGAAAGUACCUGAUAAUUUAGUUGUCGUGCACGAGCUCUAGUAAUUGGUCCCUGUAUCUCCGGUACUUGAGGUGUAGGUGCUGUAGGGGCUGUGGUUGUAUCAUUAGUUGGGAUGUCCUCAUCAUCCUCCCCUUCUUGAAUCGAAGUCGUCCUCGACGGUAGUUCAUCUUCUUCUCCCAAAUAAGGCUUCAAAUCUGCAAUAUUAAACGUGGGACUAACCCCAAAAUCUGCAGGUAGCUCAAGUUUAUAUGCAUUAUCAUUAAUUUUCGCUAACACCUUAAAGGGACCAUCAGCUCGUGGCAUUAACUUAGACUUGCGCAAAUCAGGGAAACGAUCUUUGCGCAAAUGCAACCAAACAAGAUCUCCAGGUUCAAACACAAUUUGUUUUCUGCCCCUAUCUCCCGCAAGUUUAUACUUAGAAUUCAUGCGCUCAAUGUUCUCUUUAGUCGUCUCAUGCAUUUUUAUUAUAAGUUCAGCACGUUCCUUAGCAUCAAAGUUAACUUUUUCAGAAGUUGGCAAAGGUAACAAAUCAAUUGGUGCACGAGGUAUAAAACCAUAAACAAUUUCAAAAGGGCACAAUUUUGUGGUUGAAUGCAGUGAACGAUUAUAAGCAAAUUCAAUAUGAGGUAAACAUUCUUCCCACAUUUUCAAGUUCUUCUUUAAAACAGCCCUAAGCAUAGUAGAUAAUGUUCUAUUAACAACUUCAGUUUGUCCAUCUGUUUGGGGAUGACAUGUAGUACUAAAAAGCAAUUUAGUCCCCAACUUAGCCCAUAAACAUCUCCAAAAGUGGCUAAGAAAUUUUGUGUCACGAUCUGAAACUAUAGUAUUGGGCACACCAUGCAAGCGAACAAUUUCACGAAAGAAUAAAUCAGCAACAUUUGUAGCAUCAUCGCUCUUAUGACAAGGUAUAAAAUGUGCCAUCUUAGAAAAUCUAUCAACAACAACAAAUAUGCUAUCCCUCCCCUUCUUAGUUCGAGGCAAUCCCAAAACAAAAUCCAUUGAUAUAUCUUCCCAAGGAACAUUAGGAACAGGGAGAGGCAUAUAUAAACCAUGAGGAUUGAGUCGUGACUUAGCUUUUUGACAUGUAGUGCAGCGAGCGAUAAAUCUCUCAACAUCCCGUCUCAUCCGAGGCCAAAAGAAAUGAUCAGCGAGCACAUCUUCGGUCUUCUUCACGCCGAAGUGACCCAUCAACCCUCCUCCAUGUGCCUCCUGUAACAACAAAAGACGAACGGAGCUAUCUGGGAUGCAUAGCUUGUUAGCACGGAACACAAAUCCAUCAUUAACGACGAACUUGUUCCAUGUUCUGCCCUCUUUACAAUGCUGCAAAACAUCCUUAAAAUCUGCAUCAUGUUCAUAUUGUUCUUUUAUAGUCUCCAAUCCAAAUAUCCGAAAAUCAAGCUGAGAUAACAAGGUAUAACGACGUGAUAACGCAUCAGCAAUAACAUUAUCUUUACCCUUCUUAUGUUUAAUAACAUACGGAAAAGACUCAAUAAAUUCAACCCAUUUAGCAUGACGACGGUUCAGCUUUGCUUGACUACGAAUAUGCUUCAAAGAUUCAUGAUCAGAAUGUAUAACAAAUUCUUUGGGCCAUAAAUAAUGUUGCCAUGUUUCUAAAGUCCGAACGAGAGCAUAUAAUUCCUUAUCAUAAGUAGAAUAAUUCAGACUAGGCCCACUCAAUUUUUCACUAAAGUAUGCAACAGGUUUUCUGUCUUGUAACAACACACCUCCUAAACCGAUUCCACUAGCAUCACACUCCAACUCAAAAGUCUUAUUAAAAUCAGGAAGUUGGAGUAAAGGAGCAUGUGUCAACUUAUCUUUCAAUAUGAGAAAAGCUUCUUCUUGUGCAGCGCCCCAUACAUAUGGAACGUCCUUCUUUGUGAGCUCAUUAAGCGGUGCAGCAAGGGUGCUGAAAUCCUUUACAAAGCGGCGGUAAAACCCAGCGAGUCCAAGAAAGCUCCUCACUUGGGUGACCGUUGUUGGAGUUGGCCAGCUUUGAAUAGCGUCGAUCUUGGCCUUAUCAACUUCUAUGCCCUGUGGAGUGACAACAUAGCCAAGAAACGAAACUCGAUCGGUGCAAAAGGUGCACUUCUCAAGGUUACCAAACAAACGUGCAUCUCUCAAAGCAUCAAAAAUAGCACGUAAAUGAUUCAAGUGGUCUUCUAAAGAGCUGCUGUAAAUCAAUAUAUCAUCAAAAUAAACCACCACAAAUCGUCCUAUGAAAGCACGUAAAACUUCGUUCAUUAACCGCAUGAAAGUGCUAGGUGCGUUAGUAAGACCGAAAGGCAUGACUAACCACUCAUAUAGUCCAAACUUAGUUUUAAAUGCUGUUUUCCAUUCAUCGCCUAAUUUCAUUCGAAUUUGGUGGUAACCACUACGUAAAUCAACUUUAGAGAACACGGUAGAGCCACUUAAUUCAUCUAACAUAUCAUCAAGUCUAGGAAUUGGGUGACGAUAGCGAAUAGUAAUGUUAUUAAUAGCUCUACAAUCUACACACAUACGCCAAGAACCAUCUUUCUUUGGUACCAAAAUAACAGGAACAGCACAAGGACUAAGGGAUUCACGAAUAUAACCUUUGUCGAGCAAUUCUUGAACUUGUCGUUGAAUCUCCUUCGUCUCCUCUGGAUUGGUACGGUAGGGCGCACGGUUGGGCAGCGAAGCACCAGGAAUUAAAUCAAUUUGAUGUUCAAUCCCUCGAAUAGGUGGUAAUCCUGGUGGUACGUCUUGUGGAAAGAUGUCGGAAUACUCCUGCAAAACGUGAGUAACAGCAGGGGGCAAAGAGGGAGGCAUAUCCUCAAAUGAAAACAAAGCCUCUUUGCAAAUGAAUGCAUAGCAAACAGAAUUAUUCGUAUCUAACUCAGAAAUAUCGGAUUUACUUGCAAGCAAGCAUGCACCUUUCAAUUUAAUUUCAUUAACAUGUUUCGGUUCAGAUUUGCUAGUAGACGCUUGGUGCUUAAAUUCCUUAGCGACAUUAUGGUUCUCACUAUUAUCCUUCUCUUUGCUCUUUGCUCUACUAGCUCUAGCAAGAUCAUCUUUCACAAUUUGUUCAGGAGUCAUAGGUUUCAAACCAAUUUUCUUACCAGCAUGCAUAAAAGAAUAAUGAUUAGUUCUACCAUGAUGAACAGAAUCUGUAUCAUAUUGCCAUGGACGACCGAGUAACAUAGAACAUGCUUGCAUAGGUACCACAUCACAAUCCACAAAAUCAGAAUAUGUACCAAUAGUAAAGUGUGCACGGACUGUUCUAGUUACCUUGAGCUUACCGCUGUUGUUAAACCAUUGAAUGUAGUAAGGGUGGGGGUGCGGCCUGGUGGUAAGAACAAGUUUUUCCACCAUCUCCGUGCUGGCCAAAUUAUUGCAACUUCCCCCAUCUAUGAUGAUACGAACAGCGCGCUCCUUGAUGACCCCUUUUGUUUGGAACAAGUUAUGCCGCUGAUUUUGUUCGGCGUGGCUCAUUUGGACGCUCAAGGUGCGUUGUGCAAUCAAACUCAAGUACUGAUCAGCGGCUUCAGCUCCCAUUAACUCCUCGUCAUGGUGGGCAGCGGGGUCUUCUUGCUCUUCCUCGGCAAUGAGAGCAUAGGUAGCUUCGUCAAAAUCACUGGCUGAAUCAUAUACUCCGUCUUCACGUAUGAUCAUAACGCGUUUGGUUGGACAGUCCCGCUGAAAAUGCCCGUAUCCUUUGCACCUACGACAUUGGUUAUCUCCGGUCCGUCCGGUGGAAGCAACGGACGCUGCUGAACUUUGUGCAGAGGCAGCGGGUGUAUUUCUUGUUGCUGCUGGUCCAACCUUUGCGGAUGUAGGUGUAGAGGUACUUUGCUUGUUGGUGGAAGUAGUCGGAACAACCGGACGUGUAGGGGGUGCAGCUGGGCGUGUGGAAGGGGCAGCGGGGCUGCGUGCUGCCCAUGAGGAAGUACGACCUGCAGAAAAGUUAGUCCGCGCGUUCGCGUGUCGUCCCUGCACUUCCCUUUCAGCUUUGCAAGCAAUGUGAAACAAUCGAUUGAUAGAAUUAUACUCCUUAUAAUCAACAAUGUCAGCAAUUUCACGAUUUAAACCACCAAAGAAUCUAGCCAUAGCAGCUUCCUCAUUCUCAACUAAACCACAACGUAACAUGUUCUUUUGCAUUUCUUGAUAAUAAUCUUGGACAGAAUUACUACCUUGCCUUAAUUGUUGUAGUUUCUUUAACAAGUCACGCGAAUAGUAUGAAGGAACAUAUCUAGCGCGCAUAAUUCUUUUCAAAUCAUCCCAUGUUGGUGGUAUAGCGUUAGGAUGUGCAAUACAAUACUCAUGCCACCAAACAGAAGCAAAAUCAGUAAACUCACUAGUAGCAGCCCUAACCCUUUUAUUAGCAGGAAAAUCAUGGCAAGUAAAUUUUUGACUCAAUUCUAAUUCCCAUGUAAGGUAAGCAUCAGGGUCAUAUUUUCCAUCAAAAGGAGGAACCUUAAGUUUAAUAGAAUGCAGCGAGUCAUGUUCCUCUCUGUGAGGUCGUGUCGGUCCCAUACCUCGGCGGUUGAAACGAGUUCGGCGAUGAUCACGGUCGUUGUGAUGGUUUACGGCCUCGUCGUGUUCCGUAUCCGCGGAGUAGUCGUCGUCGUUCUCCUCAACCUCGCUUGCGAAGGUACCGUUAUUAGCCGUCCGCUGGUUGUGUGUAUUGUUUCCUCCCGGUGUAGCGAUGGUCGUUGCAGCAAUUGCCGCCAGUUGCUUCGUGAUUUCUGCCAGAGAAGUACUAAUGGUAGCAACAGAAUUCUGUAAAGAUGUUAGCUUGGUAUUUGUUUCAAUGUGCGCGCUCUCCAAGGUUCCAAGUCUCUCAUUCGCAACCCGAACGUCCUCAUCCAGCUCCUCGUUACGGAGCCUAAGCUUGCGAUCAAAAUGUGAAAUAAUGCCCUUUGUGCGUGGAGAGUGGCCUUGUAAAUCAUCAUCAGAACCUGCCAUCGUUAGGAGAAAACAAGAAACAAAUCACAAGGAAAAGUCCCUAUGCACUACUAGGACGUGGGGUUCCAAAGAUCACUCCACUCAACUUUUAAUCAAGUUCUUACUCGUUCUUACCCAGCAAACAGGAAGGUGAUGGCCAGCGGCAAGAACAAGCCCUCCGAAGAUUAGUGUAUCGAUGCCUCGAGGCAAACCAACCUAGGUGUAGAAUCUGUGGAGCUUGGAGGCUUAUGUGAGUAGCAAGGAAAAGCGAAUAAUCAAAUCAGCAAUGCAAAGUUGAAAAUAUGCUCAAAAAUGCUAGUCCUAGUUGCUGGAGUCGACAAGAACGAAUUACAGAAAUUAACUAAGCCUAGAUACUGAAAAAGGUAGAAAGGAAAGAUCAAAUGAAAGGUAAAACAAGUAAAUCUCUGGGGAAUAUUUUUUUUUCUCUUUUUUUUUUCUUUUUGUGGCCUUCUGUUUGGCUUCUUAUUCUUUUCUAUUUUUUUUUUUUUUAUCCCCAGAAACUCACGCAAAAUAAGUUAAGACCGGAAAGCUGCACGUCGGUCUGUAGGAGAAUAGCAAAGGCUGUAGUAAGGAAAACUCAGAAAAAUAUGAGAAAAUUUGGGUUAGAAGCGUAUCAAAACAAGCUUUCCAACAAGUGCAAGAUCACUCGAAACGGAGGUCGGACGGUGGAGAAAACUGCGAUAUACUGCGCUGCCCCGGUCCCGUAAAACGGGUGCAGAAACUUUGGAGCUCGAAAAGUCCACCUUAGAUGCCGAAUUUGAGGGUCAAAGUGCAGGGCAGCGCCCUGGAUAUUUCCUGAUGUGCCUCGUCGUGAGCUUUCCAAAAAAUCCAAGAACGUCCAAAUCCGAGUUGGUAUGCAAAAGAUACGUCCGUUUUACUGAACACGGGUCAAACCCACCCGAAACUAAAAUUCUACUCGGACUCGGGUCCGAAACUGACUCGAACUCUUUCUCUCUUUUUUUUCGUUUUUUUUUUCUUUCUUUCUUCCCUUUUUUUUUUCUUUCCCUUCUUUUUUUUUUUCACAACUUUCCGAACAACUUGAUCUCUGAACAAAAUUCGAUCUAUUAUGAAACACUUUCCAAAAGCACUCUUGAUUGGACUCGGACUCGAACUCGCGGCUGAAAACUAUAACUUGCCGACUCGAUGUAGGACUCGACGAGGGACUCGGUGUAGGACUGGAAGAAGGACUCGGUGUAGGACUCGAAGAGGGACUCGGUGUAGGACUCGAAGAGAGACUCGGUGGAAGAUAUGGUGGCGGCAGAAGAUUAUGGCGGUGGUGUGGCAGGAAGUUUGGCGGCGGAAGAUUGAUGAAGGAAACCUGCGUCACACGAAGAACAAGAAAACCAAAAGCAAGUUCGAUCUAGUAGAAAAAAUCUGAAAAACGAUCCAAUCUAAUCCAGCAACUCGACACGAUUAAUGCAGCAAAGAUUCAACAAUGCAAAUACUAAUGUGAAAAUUGCAAGGCUCAGAUUGGUUCUAGGACAAGGUAACUAAUUCUAAUUUUUGUUUGGCUUUUUCUGGACGAUAGGUAAAAACAGAUCUAAACUACGGAUAAACUGGAAAAAUCUCACCGAGCAACCUUAAGCUCUGAUACCACGUGAUAGCCUCGAGGGUGUCCCGAUCUUUCGAUGAGAUACCUAAUUAUCGAUUUGGUAGGAGGUGACGUUGACGAUCCGACUACAACCUAGGAGGCAGCGCCUUAGCGAUCGAUACACCAACUCCAGAAGGUUAUUGAUCCCGUGGGGGCACGAUCAACCUGACCACGAAGGUCUUUGUUCCUGCAAGCAAUCGAAGAACAAGCAAGAACAAGAUGAAAAGCAAUCUGAAAUUGCGAAUAGGAGAUAUGAAGGUUCACGAAUCUGAAUACUCAAUAUAGUUGGAGUCUUGAUGACGGUAAAACAGGUGGUCUAACCGACACACGCGAUUACACGAAAGUAGCAAAGGCUAAACUUUAUCUAAUCAAAACCCAAGGCUCCAUAGGGGGGCUCAUGGGGUAUAAAUAGGAGGGGAACUAGGUGGUUUUCGGCCAGGCCCUUGUGGGAGUCCGAAACGGCCUAGGAAUCCUCCUAAAACACAACGAAAACAUCUAAAAAUUGGCUGGACCCUAUUACAUGGCCUUAGGCCCAAUAAAACAAGGUUAUAACCCUCAUCUUUGGCCCAUAGAUACCCAUUGGAGGGGGAAUCCUCCACUUGGCCGAAAUCCCAUUGAUGAAGAGGAUGCGGCCUUCUUCUCAUCUCUUUAUGGCGGUUUCAAUGUUCUGAAAUCAACACUUGAGCUACCUCCCACCACCUUGCUGCCACCUCCAUGGUUUGCUGUCCAACGCUGAUCCUUGAGGUCCAAGCUAGGUCCUUCAUUCCUAAAACACAUAAAAGAACCCAUCUUAGGCAGCAGCAUAUUCUCAUUAAUAUUAAAUGAAAUACCGAGGAACGAAAGUACCUGAUAAUUUAGUUGUCGUGCACGAGCUCUAGUAAUUGGUCCCUGUAUCUCCGGUACUUGAGGUGUAGGUGCUGUAGGGGCUGUGGUUGUAUCAUUAGUUGGGAUGUCCUCAUCAGUCGGGUGCGUCCAAGACAAGCAUUAGAGUCGAUUGGACGCAGCCCCCCGAGUGUCGGGUGCGUUCAAGACAAGCAUUAGAGUUGAUUGGACGCAGCCUCCCCGUGUCGGGUGCGUCCAAGACAAGCAGUUUUUGGGUCCAUCCUGCUGCGUGGACGAGAGCUGAAUAUUGUGCUUUGCGCCGUGUGGCUUGCAAUAAGAUGUU
Molecule: long non-coding RNA, 15545 nt
Filed under: Brachypodium distachyon (stiff brome)
Lineage: Eukaryota; Viridiplantae; Streptophyta; Magnoliopsida; Poales; Poaceae
Description: long non-coding RNA (BDIS_LNC003339)
Source: RNAcentral